This 254-nucleotide ribosomal RNA is filed under the name uncultured bacterium. RNAcentral describes it as "partial 16S ribosomal RNA". It matches the Rfam family "Bacterial small subunit ribosomal RNA", at positions 524 to 777 of the family's 1533-position model. The record is from RNAcentral.
UACGUAGGGCGCAAGCGUUGUCCGGAAUUAUUGGGCGUAAAGAGCUCGUAGGCGGUUUGUCGCGUCUGCUGUGAAAACCUAAGGCUCAACCUUGGGCUUGCAGUGGGUACGGGCAGACUAGAGUGCGGUAGGGGUGACUGGAAUUCCUGGUGUAGCGGUGGAAUGCGCAGAUAUCAGGAGGAACACCGAUGGCGAAGGCAGGUCACUGGGCCGCAACUGACGCUGAGGAGCGAAAGCAUGGGGAGCGAACAGGG